RNAcentral lists this ribosomal RNA (482 nucleotides) under uncultured bacterium. Its description in RNAcentral is "bacterial SSU rRNA". It matches the Rfam family "Bacterial small subunit ribosomal RNA", at positions 28 to 507 of the family's 1533-position model. The record is from RNAcentral.
GACGAACGCUGGCGGCGUGCCUAACACAUGCAAGUCGAGCGGAGUCGAUCGACGGAAGCCUUCGGGCGGAAGGUGGUUGACUUAGCGGCGGAUGGGUGAGUAACGCGUGGGCAACCUGCCUCGAAGACCGGGAUAACAGCCCGAAAGGGCUGCUAAUACCGGAUGUGGUCAAGGAUCCGCAUGGAUUUUGAUUAAAGGGGAAACCCGUUUCGAGAUGGGCCCGCGUCCUAUCAGCUAGUUGGUGAGGUAAAAGCUCACCAAGGCGACGACGGGUAGCCGGCCUGAGAGGGUGACCGGCCACACUGGAACUGAGACACGGUCCAGACUCCUACGGGGGGCAGCAGUGGGGAAUCUUCCACAAUGGGCGAAAGCCUGAUGGAGCGACGCCGCGUGAGCGAAGAAGGCCUUCGGGUUGUAAAGCUCUGUCUGGAGGGACGAAGGAAGUGACGGUACCUCCGGAGGAAGCCACGGCUAACUACGUG